Molecule: ribosomal RNA, 440 nt
Filed under: uncultured bacterium
Lineage: Bacteria
Description: partial 16S ribosomal RNA
Rfam family: Bacterial small subunit ribosomal RNA
Source: RNAcentral
CCUACGGGAGGCUGCAGUGGGGGAUAUUGCACAAUGGGGGGAACCCUGAUGCAGCGACGCCGCGUGGGUGAAGAAGCGCCUCGGCGCGUAAAGCCCUGUCAGCAGGGAAGAAAAUGACGGUACCUGAAGAAGAAGCCCCGGCUAACUCCGUACCAGCAGCCGCGGUACUACGUAGGGGGCAAGCGUUAUCCGGAUUUACUGGGUGGAAAGGGGGCGCAGACGGCGAUGCAAGCCAGGAGUGAAAGGCCGGGGCCAAAUCCCUGGACUGCUCUUGGAACUGUGUGGCUGGAGUGCAGGAGGGGCAGGCGGAAUUCCUGGUGUAGCGGUGAAAUGCGUAGAUAUCAGGAGGAACACCGGUGGCGAAGGCGGCCUGCUGGACUGCAACUGACGUUGAGGCCCGAAAGCGUGGGGAGCAAACAGGAUUAGAUACCCCUGUAGUC